GUGGUCAUCUGUCCUGAACCUCCUCACGGCCCCACAGGCCCAGAGCUGGGCUCCGCCCAUCAUGGGGCUGCUUCCUGUUCCCCAAACACUGGCCACAAUGUGAGGUCAGCCCAAAGGUGCAGAGCCAAGAAAACUCAGCCUCCAAGACACAGAACAUAUUUUCCUGGGUCGGAAGCAGCAGUCAAACCUGGUCUAUUUAUGCCAAAGCCCAAGUGCAGGUGCCCAGAGGAGAGAGGGGGAGCUGUGAGGAGGGAUAGAUAUUAUGCUGUGGUGGGGCCACACAAACCCCACCUUGUUGUGCCUUCAGGAGAAGCACAUUCUUGGCCUGGGUGGUAACAAUAACAUUUGGACGGAAAUAUCAAGUGGUAUCAGGCUUCCAGACCACCAUUCAUGCAAGAGCUAACCUUACAUAUGCUUGAUCAAAUGACAAAAAGCUUCAGCCAGAAACAGUUUUGCCUAGGUUCUGAAUCUUCCCUGAGCUCUUAAAUUCUACCCAGUGAGCAUCUAGAUUAAAACCUGGAUAAAACCUGGAUAAAAGAUUAAAAAACUCAACCAAGUUU
Molecule: long non-coding RNA, 560 nt
Organism: Pongo pygmaeus (Bornean orangutan)
Lineage: Eukaryota; Metazoa; Chordata; Mammalia; Primates; Hominidae
Exons: 4
Source: RefSeq, a predicted model, not a curated record